AGCAGUCACGGUAAUUCCAGCUCCAAUAGCGUAUAUUAAAGUUGUUGCAGUUAAAAAGUUCGUAGUUGAAUUUCGGGGUUAGUAGGCUGGUUAUUUCACUGAAACUCUGUCGGGUUAUGUACUGGUCUUACUAAUUCCUCCUUCCUGAUGAACUGUAGUGCCAUUAAUUUGGUGUUGCAGGGAAUCUGGACUGUUACUUUGAAAAAAUUAGAGUGUUUAAAGCAGGUUAACGCUUGAAUACAUUAGCAUGGAAUAAUGAAAUAGGACGUUCGAUCCUAUUUUGUUGGUUUCUAGGAUUGACGUA
This 304-nucleotide ribosomal RNA is filed under the name uncultured Glomus. RNAcentral's name for it is "SSU rRNA". It matches the Rfam family "Eukaryotic small subunit ribosomal RNA", at positions 569 to 864 of the family's 1831-position model. The record is from RNAcentral. Lineage: Eukaryota; Fungi; Glomeromycota; Glomeromycetes; Glomerales; Glomeraceae.